UCCGGUUGAUCCUGCCGGAGGCCAUUGCUAUUGGGAUUCGAUUUAGCCAUGCUAGUCGCACGAGUUCAGACUCGUGGCGAAUAGCUCAGUAACACGUGGCCAAACUACCCUUCGGAACACAAUACCCUCGGGAAACUGAGGCUAAUAGUGUAUACCGCAUCACACCUGGAAUGAGUGAUGCGCCAAACGCUCCGGCGCCGAAGGAUGUGGCUGCGGCCGAUUGGGUAGACGGUGGGGUAACGGCCCACCGUGCCAAUAAUCGGUACGGGUCAUGAGAGUGAGAACCCGGAGACGGAAUCUGAGACAAGAUUCCGGGCCCUACGGGGCGCAGCAGGCGCGAAACCUUUACACUGCACGACAGUGCGAUAAGGGAAUCCCAAGUGCGUAGGCAUAGAGCCUACGCUUUUGUCCACCGUAGGGAGGUGGACGAAUAAGGGCUGGGCAAGACCGGUGCCAGCCGCCGCGGUAAUACCGGCAGCCCGAGUGAUGGCCGAUCUUAUUGGGCCUAAAGCGUCCGUAGCUGGCCGCACGAGUCUAUCGGAAAAUCCACCCGCUCAACGGGUGGGCGUCCGGUAGAAACUGUGUGGCUUGGGACCGGAAGGCGCGACGGGUACGUCCGGGGUAGGAGUGAAAUCCUGUAAUCCUGGACGGACCGCCGAUGGCGAAAGCACGUCGCGAAGACGGAUCCGACAGUGAGGGACGAAAGCUAGGGUCUCGAACCGGAUUAGAUACCCGGGUAGUCCUAGCCGUAAACAAUGCCUGUUAGGUGUGGCUCCCACUACGAGUGGGUGCUGUGCCGUAGGGAAGCCGCUAAACAGGCCGCCUGGGAAGUACGUCCGCAAGGAUGAAACUUAAAGGAAUUGGCGGGGGAGCACUACAACCGGAGGAGCCUGCGGUUUAAUUGGAUUCAACGCCGG
Molecule: ribosomal RNA, 917 nt
Filed under: uncultured archaeon
Lineage: Archaea
Description: bacterial SSU rRNA
Rfam family: Archaeal small subunit ribosomal RNA
Source: RNAcentral